Non-coding RNA from Ostertagia ostertagi, 70 nucleotides. Lineage: Eukaryota; Metazoa; Nematoda; Chromadorea; Rhabditida; Trichostrongylidae. The record is from the annotation of a GenBank genome assembly.
GUGCGGUGGUUCAGUGUAAGAAUGCUCGCACUGCCAGGCCGAGUGGCCAGGGUUCGAUUCGCUGUCGACG